This 454-nucleotide ribosomal RNA is filed under the name uncultured bacterium. RNAcentral's name for it is "bacterial SSU rRNA". It matches the Rfam family "Bacterial small subunit ribosomal RNA", at positions 340 to 786 of the family's 1533-position model. The record is from RNAcentral.
UACGGGAGGCAGCAGUGGGGAAUAUUGCACAAUGGGCGAAAGCCUGAUGCAGCUAUGCCGCGCGUAUGAAGAAGGCCUUAGGGUUGUAAAGUACUUUCAUCGGGGAGGAAAAACAAAACUAAUAAUUUUAUUUCUUGACGUUACCCGAAAAAGAAGCACCGGCUAACUCCGUGCCAGCAGCCGCGGUAAUACGGAGGGUGCUAGCGUUAAUCAGAAUUACUGGGCGUAAAGAGCACGUAGGUGGUUUUUUUAAGUCAGAUGUGAAAUCCCUGGGCUUAACCUGGAACUGCAUUUUGAAACUGAAAUACUAGAGUAUCGUAGAGGGAGGUAGAAUUCUAGGUGUAGCGGUGAAAUGCGUAGAUAUCUGGAGGAAUACCUGUGGCGAAAGCGGCCUCCUAAACGAAUACUGACACUGAGGUGCGAAAGCGUGGGGAGCAAACAGGGAUUAGAUACC